Molecule: long non-coding RNA, 428 nt
Filed under: Homo sapiens (human)
Lineage: Eukaryota; Metazoa; Chordata; Mammalia; Primates; Hominidae
Description: non-protein coding lnc-IL17B-6:1
Source: RNAcentral
AAGGUACAGACAUGGCCAAGUCCACGAACCACACCACACACAACCAGUCCUGAAAAUGGCACAGAAAUGGUGGGCUCCAGGUUCCUGAGGAACAUGCACUUUGCCAAGAAGCACAAGAAGGGCCUAAAGAAGAUGCAGGCCAACAAUGCCAAGGCAAUGAGUGCACUUGCUGAGGCUAGCAGGGCCCUCGUAAAGCCCAAGGAGGUUAAGCCCAAGAUCCCAAAGGGUGUCAGCUGCGAACUCGAUUGACUUGCCUACAUUGUCCACCCCAAGCUUGGGAAGUGUGCUUGUGUCCGCAUUGCCAAGGGGCUCAGACUGUGUGGGCCAAAGGCCAAGGAUCAACCAAGGCCCAGGCUGCAGCUCCAGCUUCAGUUCCAGCUCAGGCUCCUCCCAAAGGCUCUCAGGCCCCUACAAAGGCUUCGGAGUAG